Molecule: ribosomal RNA, 468 nt
Filed under: uncultured bacterium
Lineage: Bacteria
Description: partial 16S ribosomal RNA
Rfam family: Bacterial small subunit ribosomal RNA
Source: RNAcentral
GACGAACGCUGGCGGCGCGCCUAACACAUGCAAGUCGAACGGAGCUGAGAGAAGCUUGCUUUUCUUAGCUUAGUGGCGAACGGGUGAGUAACGCGUGAGUAACCUGCCCUGGAGUGGGGGACAACAGUUGGAAACGACUGCUAAUACCGCAUAAGCCCACGAUCCGGCAUCGGGUUGAGGGAAAAGGAUUUAUUCGCUUCAGGAUGGACUCGCGUCCAAUUAGCUAGUUGGUGAGGUAACGGCCCACCAAGGCGACGAUUGGUAGCCGGACUGAGAGGUUGAACGGCCACAUUGGGACUGAGACACGGCCCAGACUCCUACGGGAGGCAGCAGUGGGGGAUAUUGCACAAUGGGGGAAACCCUGAUGCAGCGACGCCGCGUGGAGGAAGAAGGUUUUCGGAUUGUAAACUCCUGUCGUUAGGGACGAUAAUGACGGUACCUAACAAGAAAGCACCGGCUAACUACGUG